This 250-nucleotide ribosomal RNA is filed under the name uncultured bacterium. RNAcentral describes it as "partial 16S ribosomal RNA". It matches the Rfam family "Bacterial small subunit ribosomal RNA", at positions 88 to 339 of the family's 1533-position model. The record is from RNAcentral.
GAUUAAAGUGGCGUACGGGUGAGUAACACGUAGAUAACCUACCCUUUAGUUUGGGAUAACUUUCUGAAAAGGAGGCUAAUACCGAAUAAUACUAGGAGCCUAGUGGUUCUUAGUUGAAAGAUUUAUCGCUGAGGGAUGGGUCUGCGUACCAUUAGCUAGUUGGUAGGGUAAAGGCCUACCAAGGCUUCGAUGGUUAGCGGGUCUGAGAGGAUGGUCCGCCACACUGGAACUGAGACACGGUCCAGACUCC